This 497-nucleotide ribosomal RNA is filed under the name uncultured bacterium. Its description in RNAcentral is "partial 16S ribosomal RNA". It matches the Rfam family "Bacterial small subunit ribosomal RNA", at positions 28 to 507 of the family's 1533-position model. The record is from RNAcentral.
GAUGAACGCUGGCGGCGUGCCUAAUACAUGCAAGUCGAGCGAACAGACGAGGAGCUUGCUCCUCUGACGUUAGCGGCGGACGGGUGAGUAACACGUGGAUAACCUACCUAUAAGACUGGGAUAACUUCGGGAAACCGGAGCUAAUACCGGAUAAUAUAUUGAACCGCAUGGUUCAAUAGUGAAAGACGGUUUUGCUGUCACUUAUAGAUGGAUCCGCGCCGCAUUAGCUAGUUGGUAAGGUAACGGCUUACCAAGGCGACGAUGCGUAGCCGACCUGAGAGGGUGAUCGGCCAAACUGGAACUGAGACACGGUCCAGACUCAUACGGGAGGCAGCAGUAGGGAAUCUUCCGCAAUGGGCGAAAGACUGACGGAGCAACGCCGCGUGAGUGAUGAAGGUCUUCGGAUCGUAAAACUCUGUUAGUAGGGAAGAACAAAUGUGUAAGUAACUAUGCACGUCUUGACGGUACCUAAUCAGAAAGCCACGGCUAACUACGUG